This 178-nucleotide non-coding RNA is filed under the name Protocruzia adhaerens. The record is from RNAcentral. Lineage: Eukaryota; Ciliophora; Spirotrichea.
UAACAUUCAGGAAACCUCAAGACGAAAACUGAAGCGAAUCUAUAAAACAGUAAAAGAAAACAAUAUAGAAAAGCUCUCGACUGUCUAGCUUUUUGCUUGCAUAUGGUUUUAACCUGUUUUUAUCACCCAUAUUCACUGAUAAUUUUUUGCGUGAGUGUAAGAUACAAAGGAGGAAAGG